GACGAACGCUGGCGGCGUGCUUAACACAUGCAAGUCGAACGGAAAGGCCCUGCUUUUGUGGGGUGCUCGAGUGGCGAACGGGUGAGUAACACGUGAGUAACCUGCCCUUGACUUUGGGAUAACUUCAGGAAACUGGGGCUAAUACCGGAUAGGAGCUCCUGCUGCAUGGUGGGGUUUGGAAAGUUUCGGCGGUUGGGGAUGGACUCGCGGCUUAUCAGCUUGUUGGUGGGGUAGUGGCUUACCAAGGCUUUGACGGGUAGCCGGCCUGAGAGGGUGACCGGCCACAUUGGGACUGAGAUACGGCCCAGACUCCUACGGGAGGCAGCAGUGGGGAAUAUUGCACAAUGGGCGGAAGCCUGAUGCAGCAACGCCGCGUGCGGGAUGACGGCCUUCGGGUUGUAAACCGCUUUCGCCUGUGACGAAGCGUGAGUGACGGUAAUGGGUAAAGAAGCGCCGGCUAACUACGUG
RNAcentral lists this ribosomal RNA (468 nucleotides) under uncultured bacterium. Its description in RNAcentral is "partial 16S ribosomal RNA". It matches the Rfam family "Bacterial small subunit ribosomal RNA", at positions 28 to 507 of the family's 1533-position model. The record is from RNAcentral.